UGCCUUUCAGAUACAGAGAACAUAAGCAGGCAUGCAGAAGAAGUGGAAGGGAAGAUGCAGACCAAUAGAGGAAAGAAGGAAAAACAAGCUAAAUAUUCCUGCAGUUGAGCUUCUUAUUGAAACAGAGUAGAACAAAAUAAGGUUGAUAACAUCAUGACUGGGUGCUUGUGGAAUCGUCUUCUGGAUGCCAGAACCUGUUGAAAAACCAUAAGGAAUCAGCUUUCACGGCAUAUCCAUCUUGGUUGCGGUGCCAACUAUAGUGAGCAUGGGUUCGGUUCUUGAUGUCAAAAAUGGCAUGUCCAAAACUGGCUUCACGAUAAGCAGAGUACUUCGGCUGUGGCUCUGUCAUGCUGAAUUGUAGAACAUAAUUCAGCUCCAGUGUCGUUUCAAAUAGGAGGACAUUUACAACAUAGAAGACAGAAUUAUACAAGAUAUGUGCUAAUCUUACUUGGUUGCCAGGCCUUCGAGAUUUCCCCCAUCUCCAAUGGUGAUGUAUACUGGUGCAGACUGGUCAUUUACAGGAGUGCAAAUGCCGUUUAUGACGUUAUAAGCAAUGUUGGACACACGUUCCUGUGAUAAAUUAAGUUACUAGCAUUAGCUGUCGGGUUGGAAGAGAAGGCAAAAAACAGAGAAUUCUUGAAAUAAUGCUCUUUUUGGUAGUUUUCUUCAGUGAAAUAAUAUUUCAUUUUUUAUAAUUCCAGGGUCAGAAAAACAAUUAUAAACAUUCUAACAAUUUUCGGGCAUUCUUUGAUUUCAUUCAGAAAAAAAUUAAAGGCCAAAUAAAAAGCAACGCUUAAGAUCUUAUACCUACAAAAAGGGGUUUCAGGAAAACAGCAAAAACUCCUACUUCGGAGCCUUACUGUGCAGAGGAUAAAGUGAACUUACAGAUCGUUCGUAGGCAUGAACAUGACCAGCAAACACAACAUCAACUUUGUACUGCACAAACCAUGGCUCGUACAUUACUCUCAUGGUUUCCCCUUCCAUAUAAUGAUAGUUGUAACUGUUAUACCAUGGGGAAUGCAUAAGAACAAUUAGCCAUGGUGUCUCACUCCUGUUAACUUUUGGUAGCUCCUUUUCAAGCCACUUAUACUGAGGAGUAUAUUUUCCUGAAAAGCAUAAGACAUAUAAAAACAUUCAAUUUUUUUACCAAUUUAAGCAUUUGGAGGACAAGCUGAAAUGAGCUCGUUCCUUCCUGCAUAUAAUAGUGUUUGAAUUGACUUAGAAUGUAAGCAUUAUCAAAUAAAAGUUCAAGUAACAGGAUAGAGUUGGAUCAUGACUAAAAUGACAAAACAUGAUCCUACAGAGGAUGGAAACUAUUCACGUCAAAUGCAGUACAAGUUCAGAAUUUUACUAAUUCAAUAUAUCAUAGAAAAAUCUAGAGGGUGAUGGAACCAUCCCAGCUGCCAUCUAAAUCCAUCUGAUAUUCCCCCUACUCCAGGGUUGACUUUCUUUUCACAGUAAGGAAAAGCACAAUUAUCCAAAUCCCCAUCCUCUGAUAUGGAUUACAAAUGCUUCAUACUUUUUAUAUUUGUAUGUGGUAAUUCGUAAUUGACAUUCUGCUGCAUAUGGGCACAUAUGUUUAGUGCACCACAGUAUGCGUAUGCUUACCAUAUGCUGAGUAUGAUGCCAAGACAAUGAUAUAUGCAGAAGCCCUCUUGAUAGAGUACCAGAAGGGAGCGGUACUAUCUGAUGCUCUGUAGGGAACAUGAUAUCGAUGACUAUAAGGCUUAAAGGGUAUAAACUCACCCUGCAAAAAACACCAGACUUCCAUUAUAAUUUCACUUUGUAUGGUAAUAUUGGGAGGUCUAGAAAUGGGUUAAGAUCUUUUUCUUUCUCACACUCUUCCUAUGGAAAUCUGAUCAUUCUUAUGAUUAGGAGUUGAUAUAUUGAUCUCACCAGCCAAAAGAAGUAUCAAUAUAGAAUUAUACCUGGAAAAUAUAUCAGAGAAAAGAAUUUUAUCAAAUUUGAAAACUAAGAUUACUGUUCUAUAAGGAAAAUAAAGCCACCGGUUACUGUACUAUAGUAGUAUCUCCUAGCUCCUCAUAAGGGAAGGUCCAGAAUUCUACCUCAUGCGAGGGCCUAGCCUAUGGGCUAAAGCCCCCUUGUACGGCAAAUAAUAGAAGGAAAAAUGGGCUAUCUUGUGCCAAAAACAAACAAGGAAAACGAUAUGAUUGUAGAACCAUAGCAGAAAAGCUAUAGUGCCUUUGGAAGAAUAAAAGGAUUGGUCAAAAGUUGUAAUUGAAAAAUUUUCAGCUAAGCAGAUUGAUGGAACAAAUUACCAUGUCAAAACAUUAUAUCAAUAAAAAAAGCAUAAAGAUACUGCUUUCCAUCAUUGAAAAUAUGUUAGAAAUGCUUACAAUUUCAGGAACAAAAUCAAUCUCAUGGUUUCCUGCAGUCCAUAUCCAAGGUUGAUAAGCAGUACUUCUCUCAGUGAACCUUCCCCAUGUAUCCCACCUAACGUUAUCAUGGUUCGGGUAGUUAUCAGCAUAUGAAAGGUCUCCAACAAACAACACGGUUUUUCCCUUUGCAGGGUUCAAUUCAUAGUGCGUAAGUGUCAUAUUUGAAUCAUAACUCUGCCCAAGAUCCCCUGCAAGCAAUGCUCAGUAGAGUGAAUCGACCCAAAGGAAUCAAAAAACAAUGCUAAACAAACAUUUAUGAAAACAUAUGGACACACUAAAUACAUAAUGCAUGUGAGCAUCUUCCAGAAUACAUGUGUGCCUUAAUGAUGCACUGGUAGUAAGUUAAACAAUAAAUUUCAUCAAAUCUAAGAUCUAUUUGGAAUCAACUUAUCUAGAUAACUUUUCAGUAAACUAACUUCCAGUAACAAUUCCUAGCAACCCAACCAGCAUCCCCACAAAAUCACUACUACGCUAGGUGAAAAAGCCCGUGGCACUGGAACCUACAGCCUCCCUAAUAGUAAGGAAACGCAAGGUGGCCUGAUCCACAACUCCAACAGCUAAACCAAAUCUGAAUAAUUAACUGUUAUUAACCUUCAAACAAUCUCAAUUACACAGGUUUGAUAUUGAACGGUUACCUAUAAGACCAAAAGUGUAUGGAACAUCUGGGCCAACUUUAGGAGGAGUUACAAACCAAAACUUGCGUGGAGUGUGUCCAAUCCCGACCACAUAGUAAUACUUGGUGUUGAACUGCAAAUAAAUUAGAAAAGCUUCAAGCUCUGUAUCCAGAAGAAAUCCCAAAACAAAGAAAUGAUGAAUGAAUUGGGUGACAUCCCACCUCCAAAUUCUUGAUAGUGCAAUGAUGAAUGUAACCAGAAGUGUAAUUGUAGAAUUUAUAGGUAACCAUGAUUCCCUCAGCUCUGUUCUUGCGCUUGGAGUUUUCACUCCAGUAGAGCACUGUGUUUGAGCCUGGUUCAUCCACAGUGACCCAUGAGACAAUCACUCCUCUCCCCUCAUGAUCUCCUUGUGUUAUAUGAACCUUAACACGGACCACCCACAAGUCAAACAAGAACAACAAUAAAAAUUGAGAUCAAACCCACUAAAUCUGCUCCAAAAUAAAACCAAAAUUAUGAAGUAAUUUAAAAUAAAUAAAAUAUAAAACCCCUUUUUUUUAAAUGGGUUUUGAAAUUCUUAAACCCCACCUAAACGAAAAAGUAUAUGAAUCUAAAUCAAUUAACAAAUCCCAGUGAAAAGCAAAGCAAAUGGAGGAAGAAAAAGCCACACACCUGCUGAGGGGCAUUAUAACCAAGAGGCACACGAAAGACAUCACUGUCAAGAGGCAUAUCAAUGGUUUUUUCAACCUUCCUCACAAAACUACUCGUGAUUCCUCCAUGACACACCACUGCUGCAUUCAACACCGAACCCAAAACAAUAACCACAGUAGCAACUGCAGAAGAAAAAGAUAGCCCCAUCACCCCCAUCUUAUCCCACACCUCCACAAACCACUCAACCUACGCUCUCAACCCGAUCUUCUUCAUCCACCUCUCUCACCGAUCCCCAUUUAUAGCAUUUUCUGAGAAAAACCCGGGGAAUAUUCAGAAAUGUAAUGCGGAUAUGCAUCGUGAAGUCAACGGACUGAGGAAGCCUAGGGAAGCCACGUUCAACGAUGAGGGAAACCCAGAAAUUCCCUUUUGGAAAAUAAUAAUAAAAAAAUUCGGAGUUGACUCGGAGGUUGACAUUUAGUUUAAUUUUUGGUUUGAGCUGAAAAGCUGGAAUUUUUAACAGGGAUAAUUGGAAGACGAGUGGGAAUACCCAGUUCUACUUUUGGUUAAAAUACGAUGAAACUACACUUUCCACUGAGAUUCAUGAUCUCAGAGAUUUGAUUACGGUACCGUUAGAAUCAAUAUCCUGUGAUCUUUCCCUUCGUUAUACUAGUGAUGAACUAGACACUGAUCAAUAGAGAUUGUUACAACUAUUUUUCCGGGAAAAAUAUCGAUAAGUAUCGCCCAGCCAACCCUAAUGAAAAUUCCUUUGAUAAAAUAAAAACCUUGUUUGGAAGAGCUUUUCAAUCCAUAAAAGUUGUAAUUUAUAAAUUAGAAGUGUCUUUAUAAGAGUAGUUACAUAAAAUUUCGGAAAAAUUAUGUUUUGGAUUUAAUUGAACCCAAAAAUUAAAAUUUGGUCUACAUAAAUUCACUAUUUAAGUCUAAAAUGUAAAGGAAAUAUAAAAAUUGAGAAAAAUGAUAUGAAAUUUUUAUCUUUCCAAACCUUUAUUAACUAUAUAUAUAAAAAAAAAAUAGAAAAACAUUAAUUUAAAUUUUAUUUCUUUUGCAAACCUCAAUAAAAUUUAAUAUAAUUUAGUGAUUUAAAAAAAAUACACCAUUUUCCAAAAAAAUAAAAAUAAAUUAUUAUUAUUUAAAAAUCAAACAUCUUGGAAAAUAUAUAUUUUUAAAAUUGUGUAUAUAAAAAAUAACUAAAAAUAUGUCAAAAUUAUUUUUUUUAAAUGAUGUAUUUUUAAAGUAUAUUUUUUAAAAAAUUAGUUUUCUAAAAAUAAUAAAUUUUUAGAAUAAUUAUUUAAAAAAAUUUAAGAUAAAAAUGUUUCUCAAACAUUAUGGUAGAAAAUAUUUUUGAAUGGUAUAUUGGUCUCUUCAUAUUUUAUAUCCUCUUUAUGAAUUAUGUAAUUUUUAUUGAUCAAAUCUUAAUUUUUGAGCUCAAUUGAGUUCAAAAGACAAAUUGUCUCUAAAAUUUUUAUAUCUCACUGAAAAUAAAAAAAUUCAUUUUUUUUUUAAGUAGAAGAAAUGGAAUUUUAUUUAAUUAAUUUUUUUUAAAUAUCACAUUUAUCCAUAUAUUUUAUAUGAAAUUUAUCUUAAAAUAAUUUUUCGUCAAAUUAUUUGAGCGUAUUCUAUAUUUUAUAGUUAAAAUUUUAAAAAUAAAUAACAAAUAUAUUUAUUUAUGGUAAAACCAAACCGUUUGUAUGGAAUUUGGUUAAAAUGUGUUACUUUAUUUUAUUUUAUUCUUUAUCAAACAAAUUAUAUAUAAUUCAUUGAUAUAAUAUUAUUUUUUUUUAUAAAGAGAUGGGCGAAACAAAUAAAAUAGUGUGAAAGUUAGAAGAUACGAAAAGGCAAAGUGGUUUGGUCCAUCCCGUUCCACUUGCGGGGAGAUACGAAAAGUGGAAAGGUCCAAAACAAAAAAAUGAAGACUAGAUUUCAAUCAUGCAUGUCUUUUUCAAUCAUUCAACCUUUUUCCUUGAAAUGCCAACCACUUUCCAAGGAAUGAAAAGGGCAAAUUACAUUGUUUUACCAAAAUUAACUUUAUUUUUUAAAAUAAAAAUAAUUAUAAUUUCUAUCCCAUACUGGUUCCCUGAAUUAGGUCGGUUUGAUCAUUAAUAUCAAGUCUAAUUCAAAUUAAAAAAUCAACUCAUUGCAGUGGGUCGAUGUUUAAUAUAAGUCCAAUUUAAUUCAAUAUUAAUUUCGAGGUAUCCAAUCUAAGAGCAACUCAAUUUUAUUUUUUUAAACUUCGUUGAAUUUUGAUUAAUUAGAUUUGACUCAAAUUGUAUGAUUCAAAAUUCUCUUAUAAUAUUUUUUUAAAUAUAUUUAUAUCAAAAUUUAAAUAAUAAAUAAGUUAAUACUUUAGGAUAAUAAUAAAAAAAUUAUUUAACUUUCUAAUAUAUUAAAAAAAAAAAUAUAAUUAUAAUUUAAUAUUGAAAAAAAAAUGAAAUAAGUAUUAUUAUACAUGAUGAUAUAAAUUAUAAAUAAUAUUAAAAAAAAAUGCUAAAUUGGGUUCAUGUCCUCCCAACCUUUGUCCAAUCCCAAUCCUAAUUAAGUUUAGAUUGAAAAUUUAUCCCUAGCAACCCAACCAGCAUCCCCACAAAAUAACUACUACGCUAGGUGAAAAAGCCUGUGGCACGGGAACCUACAACCUCCCUAAUAGUAAGGAAACGCAAGGUGCCCUGAUCCACAACUCCAACAGCUAAAUCAAAUCUGAAUAAUUAACUGUUAUUAACCUUCAAACAAUCUCAAUUACACAGGUUUGAUGUUGAACGGUUACCUAUAAGACCAAAAGUGUAUGGAACAUCUGGGCCAACUUUAGGAGGAGUUACAAACCAAAACUUGCGUGGAGUGUGUCCAAUCCCAACCUCAUGGAUCUUUUGUAUUUGAAGAUUAAGACUACUUGCUUAAUUCAUGGAUCUUUUGUAUUUGAAUCCAUAAUUUGAUCUUGUUUCUUUAUUUUUACCUUCCAUUCGAGGAUUUAUUCGAUCUUUGUUUCAUAUUGAUCGGUGUUCGUUGUUUUUUCUUAUAAUUUCAACUUUUAAAAUUGGGCUAGAAAGACACAUUCUAAUUUAGAUUAUUUGAUUAAAAAUGAUGAAAUAAUCUUCUAUUUAUUAAUCUAACCCUUCACUUUUUUUUAACAUAAAAUAAUAUAUAUUUAAUAAAAAUAUUAUCAUUUCUUUAUUAUAAAAAUAACCCAUUUUUUUUGUUUAGUUACAAAUAAUUAAAAUGUUGAAGGUUACUCUUUAAAUUCAAUGAUGAGAAAGAUUAGAUUUAGAAAUUUGGAUCUUCCUUAGAAUCAAUUAAUUAUUCUUAUUUAUUAUUUAACACACAAAAGCCUAAUCCUAACCUAGAAAGAAAGAUGGUAGAUGUGUUGUAUAUCUUCUGCUAUUGUCAUGUCUUCAUCAUGAAUAUGGACGUAAUGUUGUGCGAUGAGGAUUAUAAAGGAGGAACAUCACCAAAACCGUCACUGUUGAAGCGAAUUCUCGAUUUUGUGGAGAGUGGAUUGCCAUUAGGGAUGGAUUUAUUAAAGUGUAGAAAUUUUCUCUACAUGUUCGAUGGUGUGUACCCAAGUGACCACCCUUAUUAUUACAUAUACUCCAGAGAAGUGUCACAAACUUACACUUUUCCUAAGCUCAUGAACGACACUUAGACAAGCCAAGAUACUUGAUGUUGCUAAGUCAACCUUACCCACUUAACUAACUAAAUGUAGACCCCUCAUUUUGCCCUUGACACAUAUAAGUUACUAUCCAAGUAAGUUAUCGUAAUUUAUCGACUUGUAGUCUUCAAUUCUUCAUCAGGAGCUUAUUGGAGGAUAAAUGAUAGAAUUUGAUGUGAUUACAUGAACUUAUAAUUUUGUAGUUUAGGAUUCUUUGAUUGUUUAAAGUUAUUAUCAACCGUAAAUUGAAGCGAAACUUAGAAUUCUUUAAAAUAUUAAAUCCAUGUCUUAAAAUAUGAGAUGAAAUAAGUUGUUCCUUUUAAGUAAUGAACACACCAAAAUAAUUAAUAUUUCUAGUAUAUCAUGAAUCAUAAAUAAAGUUUAUAUGUUAUUAAAAGUCACACUUCAAAACACAAAAUAAAUUAAUUUUCCAAAUAAAAAACAAAUAUGCAACGUGUAUGUUUUUAUAAAAUAUUUAUACUUAGCUUUCAUAUAAUUUAAAACAUGCCAAACACACCUUAAUCUAACCCAUGUAUCAACUCUCCAUAAGUUGUUAGCCUAGUUUCCCCAUUCUUCUCACCCAUUAACCAUUCUCCCUUACUACAACUCAUAUCCCAGUUGUCCAAAACAUGCUUUAACCCAUGCAACUAGCCAUGCCAAAGACACCUUGCACUAGUCGUCCAUUAUCCUCAUAUAUAAGUUUAGUUUUUUAUUCCUUUUUGAAUUCAUUACUAGUAUUUAUGAAUUAAUCUCAUUUCUAUGAGAGUGCUUUAAGACGCUAAACCAGGUACGCAAACCUUUUCUUCACCAUUUAUUUAAAUUAAUGCUUGUAAUUGCAUAUUGUCUAUUAGUGUUUGCUUGUUGUGUUGAGAUUGUAUGACAUUAAAUUUGACUUGUUAUGGAAUAUGUGAUUGCUUAGAAUGUAAUGUAAUGUAAUGUUAUUGCUUGUUAUUUAACUUUUGUAUUUUCUAGAAGCGCUAGGAAUGCAAAUCAGAUAGACCUUUCUUUAUUAAUUAAAUUGAUGAAUUGUGUUGAUGUGUUUAUUUAGUUCAUAGUAUCCAUGAAUUAAGUAGUUAGUCCUCACAAUUAUCUCAACUUACUUAGUAAAAACCUAGUUUUUAGGAGUUAAAGGGGUGAUACGAUUUUUCACUAUACCUUCCAGAUAAGUAACCUGACCCACAAACCCAAAUUGGUUUUCACAGACCUGUCUUUUCUUUCAGGAGUUACAUUUAAAGUUUUUCUUUCUUAUUUUGUUUUCUCUUUUAAAAAAUAAAACGAAAGUAAGUGACGAUCUAUGAUUUAAAAAAAAAUAGUUUUUCACAAACAAAAAACGAGUUUUUCCAUCGAGUAAAAACACAUGUGAAAAUGUGGGAUCACAUUAAGCUAAACAUGCACAUGACUUGGAAGCCUAGAAGGCACACGUAGGCAACACUUCAAGGAAAGGAAACUUUAUUGCUCAAAAAAUGCAUAUAAUGCUUUGGAAACUUACUUGCUUAGUGUCUUGGCCAAAUGAGACCCUCACUUUGUUAUAGGCACCUUAGGAACUCUUUGGAACCCACAAAGGUUCCCCACUCUCCUAAAAUUUUAUUCUCUAUACAAAGGAUAUUUACAAGUAUUUCCAAGAGACCUCUGGAACUCUCUAAAUAGCUUCAUAUUCUUUCCUUAUCUUCCAUCUUAAUGUAGAGAUGUGUGGAUAUCUCUAGAUUUCUCCACAAUGUUCCAACUUAGGCAUACUAGGCAUAGGGUCGACUUGGAAGGCAUUUAGCAGUUGCAUCAAGCCCACAUGUGCCUCAACCUCUUGUUUUCUUUCAUCGACCAUGACAUUGAGCGUCUUCUUUUUUGGACAAUCUCAUGCCUAAUGUGGACUAUCAUAUAAUUAACACUGGGUCUUGGGUAUAAACUCAUUUCUGCCUUACCUUUUCCUUCUCGAACGUUAGGUGUCUUACUUGAUCCCAUUCUAAAAGCACCAUGGUCUCUCGAAACCUUGUCUCCCCCACCAUUAGCGUAGCUAUCCUCGUCUUGACUCAUCUUGGAGGAGUUUUUCUUCUUAUAAUUCGUCAAAGAUUCCUCUAUUGCCAUGGCAGUGGCUAAGUCUUGAACACUUAGGCAUCUUAGUUCCUGCUUGGUCAACCCUUGCAGUUUAUCUAUAAAGUUAAAUAGUAACUUUUCCUCAGUCAUGUUUGGAAUAUCUAGCAUGAGCGAAGCAAACCCUUUAACAUAGUCGCGAAUUGAGCUCGUGUGUUUGAGACUCCUCAUGUUCUUCUUAAUUAGAUAAGCCACGUCCUUGGGGGUAGAACGACCUCUUGAUCUCUUUCUUAAAGUCCUCCCUUAUCUCUAUGGUGCAAAUGUCUUUCUCUAUAGCGGCAAACAUCCGGCGCCACCAUAGAGUAGUCGUGUCAAUAAGGUAGAGAGUUGUAGUCCUCACCUUAGCCGCCUCAUCCAUUGGCCUAUAGCCUCAAAAUACCGCUCCAUGUGCCACAAAAAGUUAUCUAACUCCUUAACAUUUCUCUUGCCACUGAACAUGUAUGGUUUUGGCACCUCCACCCUUGGUUUCUUAAAGACAAUUCAUCGGGUGAAAUAAACAAGAAAGACGUGGUCAUGUAAGUUCUUAACUAACUUUAAAUUUUAUAAAAUCAUUCUAUGUUCGACCAAUAACAAACUCGGAUAUGCGGCCUUACUAAUAGAAAGAGCGGAGGUACCUUUUUUUGUGUCAAGUCCAAGAGGAUUGACCAUGCUCGAAGCUCCCAAGCUAAUUCCCCUUCUAAAGAUUAUUAUUAUUCCUAAUCAAAGAUAAAGUUGGAUAAAAAAAUCAUGAAUUAUUUUCAUUUUCAUCAUUUAUUGGUUACAUUUUUGCUACAACAAUUUUAUUUUUAGUAUUUAUAAUAAUUUUCAAAUAAUAAGAUAACCAUGCCCACCUUUUUUUUUCAACAUAAUUAUUUGAUCAAAAGUCUUGAUAAAAAAAAUUUAUAAUAACAUAAAUAGUGUAGCCUCUUUUGAAAGUUGUGUAUUAAAAAUAUGACAUUUAUUAAUUUUUUUUUUUAAUAAAUGUCAUUUUCAACUUAUGACUUUUAUUUUAGUAGUGUUUUUCUAACACUUGCGACUUCCAUUUUCAAAACAUUUGAUACUUAUCAUAACUUUGAAUCAUUUUCUUUAUGUCUAUUUUUGUAAUUUUUUUAUGUUAAUUUCUUUUUACAUUAUUGAUCGAAAACCUUAAUAAAUGAUUCAAAUUGAUGGAAAAAUUGAGUUAAAAUGAAGUAGACCCAACAAUAAUUCUUCAAUAUGACUUAAUUUUGGAAGCGUGCUUGAAAGACAUGGCUUUCUUUUCACUUGCACACUCAACGUUGACUUUUAAAAAACAUGUAUGCUACAUAAUUUUAUGUGAGUAAAGCCUAAUUAGCUACCAAUCUAAAUUAAAAUUAAUAAGUUAAUUGUUUCUUGAUAUGUAUUUGUUGAUAUUUAUAGUAAAUUUGAUUAUCUAAAUUGCAAAUUAGAUUAUUGCAAUACAAACUAUAACUCAACCAACACUUAUUAUAAAUAAGAAUUUAAUCAUUUCAUCUAAAAACCAAUUGAUUUUUAAUAAUGUCAAGCUCACUCUCUUUUAAUUAUUCGAGUCACACCAAAUUCCAAGCUAACAGUCUUGUACAUACUUCCUAAGCUAGUACCAAAUCUGAAGCACAUGUAAUCUUGGGUUUACUAUUUAAACAAUGUUAUAUCUUGAGCUAAUGUAAUAUUAGGUAAAUUUCUUGAGUCAACAUCAAAUCCUGAACGAGGACAAUCUUGAAUUAUACUUCUCGAAUCAUUAUUAUUAUUUAUUUCAAUACCAUUUAUUGUACAUAAUGAUUUCUUUUAUGUCAAUUAGUUUUCAUUGAAACCAAGCUAAUUACAGACGGGAAACAAUUGAAAUUCACAAAAAAAUUGGAAGUAAUUCCUUUGUGUUGUUAGUAGAAUUUGAAUCCUUUAUUUAAGAUUUAAUAUAUGAAAUUAAGAAUGGUCCACAAACUUCUAACUACUUUUUACAACAAAUUUUAAACUUAGAUAAGUAAAUUUUUUUUGAGAAUAUAUUUUGCUUAUUUUAAAAUAAAUUUAAAAUAUUUUGAAUAAUAAUUUAAAAUAUAAAGAUAUUUUAAAUAAUUUAUAUUUCACAUAAAUAUAUAAUACCUUUAUAUUAAACAAAUUUUAAAAAAGAAUUGUUUUUCGUAUUUAAGUUUUAAAUUGUUUUUGGAGUAAGAAUGAACUGAUUUUUGUGUUUGGUAGAGGUUGUAGUGUGCUCCCAGUUCUAAUUUACUUAAAAUGCAAUUCAAUCUGUAUCCAUGAUCCGAUAUAUUUGAUUGGUUAAGAUUCAAAUGUUUGAGGAUCUAAUGGUGUGGAUUGUGCGGAUGCAAGGAAGUACGGUGGGAGGAGGAGGAGUACCACAUAGAGACCGUAGAAUAUGGGGUUACGGGACUGACCUCCAAAGCAAAUGUCCCUAUCAUCCAUCCCUCAAUAUUUUUGGCACUGUAAAAGCUGACUUCGACUCUCUCCUGCAUCGCGUGGCAAACACACGUUGUUUUUAGAAAACAAAUCAUGGGUGGGGUUUAUUUUGAAGUUUUUGAUUAAAUAAAAAUAAUAAUUAUGUGAGUUAUAACUUUAUUGAUGUAUUUCUUAUAUAAUUUUUUUUUUGUUUUUUCCAUAAAAAAAAAAUGGAGAAAAAGUUAUCCGAACUCGCAUUCAUAAUUAUAAUACAAAAACAAAAGUUCGUAACUUUUUCUUUUACUUUAAAAAAAAAAAAAUUGAGAAAAGAGAGUAUCCAUGUUCUUAUGUAAGAGUUAUACAUCUUAUAUACAAAUUACUGAUAUUUUCUUUAUUUUUAAAAACAAAAAAUAUAAAAUAUAUUUACAUAUGUUUAAUUAUUAAAAUAAAGAUAAAAUAAUUCAUUGAAGAGGGAUGAAUAGGGUGUUGAUCAUUUUAAAAAAAAUUUAUAAAAUUUAAUUGAUAUGAAAGAUGGUGUUUAAAAUCAAUAUUUUUUAUUUUUAAAAACAAAAAAUAUAAAAUAUAUUUACAUAUGCUUAAUUAUUAAAAUAAAGAUAAAAUAAUUCAUUGAAGAGGGAUGAAUAGGGUGUUGAUCAUUUUAAAAAAAUUUUAUAAAAUUUAAUUGAUAUGAAAGAUGGUGUUUAAAAUCAAUGAUUGUUUAGUGUAUUUGUAUUUGUAUUUGGGAGUCCAUAGAAGAAUUAUCAUCUCGCGAGGAGAAGGCUAUGGAAUGGAGCUUUGACGUGCGAUAUGAAGAUGUUUACUUUGGAUGGUGUAGAGAAGUUGCAUGGGAUAGAUCCGAUGAUAAUUUGUGGGCUAUGAUCGAUGGGCCUGAGGACCGCUACUCCGUAGCGGUUGACUCUCUCAAAACUCGACCGCAUCUUCCAGGCUGUAUUCGAGAGGAUGAUGCAACUAGUGAGCAGAGGGACCAUAUGUGUGGAUUGAUGCCGUAUCUAAGCAACAAAGGUUUCUUGGACUUUUCUCAAUAGUACAGUAAUUUAAAAAAGUUAUUCUUAAAUUACUGUAGUGGAAGAAGUUAUUACAAAUAUAGAGUAGUUUUUGCCACAUAGGAGAGAGGAGAGAGGGUGAAGGAAUAAAUUUUUUUUAAAAAGCCAACUCGUCUCUUCAAGGAAACUCGUCUCUUCAAGAGACGAGUUCCCAUUAAAAAAAUAUAUAUAUAUUUUUAAAAAAUUCACAAAUUAAAAAAAAAAAUUUGGAACUAAAGGGAACUCGUCUGAAGAGAUGAGUUCCCAUAGGAAAAAAAAUAUAUUAUUUAUUUAAAAAAAAAUCCCAAAAAAAAAACACAAUUCCAAAGGGAACUCGUCUCUUCAAGAGACGAGUUCCUUUAGGAAAAAAAAUAUUUUUUUUUUAAAUAUAUUUUUUAUUUUUAAAAAUCCUAAAUUAAAAAAAAAAAAAAAAAAAACAAUUCCAAAGGGAACUCGUCUCUUCAAGAGACGAGUUCCCAUGUAAAAAAAAAUAAAAAAAAUUCAGAGCUCCCUUUAGGAAAAAAAUAAUUUUUUAAAAAAAUAUAUUUUUUAUUUUAAAAAAUCCCAAUUUGGAAAAAAAAAAAAAAAAANNNNNNNNNNNNNNNNNNNNNNNNNNNNNNNNNNNNNNNNNNNNNNNNNNNNNNNNNNNNNNNNNNNNNNNNNNNNNNNNNNNNNNNNNNNNNNNNNNNNAUGUAAAAAAAAAUAAAAAAAAUUCAAAGGUCCCGUUAGGGAAAAAAAAAAUUUUUAAAAAAAAAUAUUUUUUUUUUUAAAAAAUCCCAAAUUUGGAAAAAAAAAAAAAAAAAAAAACCCAAUUCCCAAGGGAACUCGUUUUUUGAAGGGGGGAGUUCCCAUGUAAAAAAAAAUAUUUUUUUUUAAAAUAUAUAUAUAUAAAAAAAAAAACAAUUCCUUAAAAUUCCUAAAGGAACUCGUCUCUUCAAGAGACGAGUUCCCAAGUUCCAUGUAAAAAAAAUUUACUCAAGGGAACUCGUCUCUUCAAGAUACGAGUUCCCUUAGGAAAAAAAUAUUUUUUUAAAAAAAUAUAUUUUUUAUUUUAAAAAAUCCCAAAUUAAAAAAAAAAAAAAAAAAAAAAAAAAAAACACAAUUCCAAAGGGAACUCGUCUCUUGAAGAGACGAGUUCCCAUGUAAAAAAAAUAUAUAUAUUUUUUAAAUAUAUAUAUUAAAAAAAAAAAAAACAAUUCCUCAAAAUUCCUAAAGGGAACUCGUCUCUUGAAGAGACGAGUUCCCAUGUAAUAGAUGAGUCCCUUUAGGAAAAAAAAUAUUUUUUUAAAAAAAUAUAUUUUUUAUUUUAAAAAAUCCCAAAUUAAAAAAAAAAAAAAAAACAAUUCCAAAGGGAACUCGUCUCUUGAAGAGACGAGUUCCCAUGUAAAAAAAAAAAAAAAAAAAAUUUAAAUAUAUAUAUUAAAAAAAAAAAAAAACAAUUCCUCAAAGGGAACUCGUCUCUUUAAGAUGAAUUCCCAUGUAAAAACAAUUUUUUUUUAAAAAAAAAAUCAUCAAGGGAAGUCGUCUAUUCAAUAGACGAGUUCCUAUGGGAAAAAAAUAAGAGACAAGAAAAAAAAAUAUUUUUUUAAAAAAAAUAUUUUUUUUUUAAAAAAAAAAUUCCCAAAUAAAAGAAAAAAAAAAACAAUUCCUCAAGUCAACUUUUCUCUUCAUAUAUAUAUAUAUUUUAAAAUUCCCAAAUAAAAAAAAAGAAAAUAAAGGAAUUUUAAAAUAUAUAUAUAUAUAUAUUUUAAAAAAUUCCCAAAUUAAAAAAAAAAAAAAACAAAAGAAUUUCCUCAAGGGAAAAAAAAUAUAUUUUUUUUAAAAAAAUUUCCUGAAGGGAACUCGUCUCUUGAAAAAAAUUAGUUUUUUUAAAAAAAAUCUUCAAGGCAAUUCGUAGAGACGAGUUCCCGUGAAAAAAAAAAAAAAAAACUCUCAAAUUAAAAAUAUAUAUUUUCAAUGUCAUUAAAGCGGCUUUUUCUGCUUAAAAAUAAAAUUAUUUCAAAUAAAAAUUAGAUUUUUAGGACAUGAAAUUUUUCAAGGAAAAACAAAUAGAAUAAAUAUGAAAUAAAAGAUAAAAAACAAUUGGAAAGAUUUUUAGGUUAUUCAAAUUAUGUUUCUGAUUACUUUAAAGAUUUCAGAAUGAACCCUUCUUAUAUUACUUAGAAAAAUACACUUGCACACCUGCAUGGACUGAGCAUCAAAAGUCACAUCAAAAGUCAUGAAUAGUAGUGAAUAGUAGUAUUUGUCUACUUUCUACUGCUUUGCAACCAACGUGGAGGAUGGGAAAGUAACAAGUCUUUGACAAAGAAAAUAAAUUCUCCCUCUGCAAACUUCAGUACCCAGCUGUCUCUACACGUGAUGGAUUUGAAACUUUUUCAAGAUUGCAGAUUCAAUAGAAUUUCAAGUCCGAAUCCUCGCCUAUAAAUAGAGCCUCAACUUUCUUCGUAAACAGAGUCGGUAAGAGAGCUUCAAGAGCAGAAAAAGAGCAAAAAAAAUUUAGAGAGUGCAAAGUUUUGAGAGUUCAAAAAAUUUUCUCUUGUAAUUUUCUUUUUUCAAUCUGAGUCAUCCCUCCCUUUGCUGUAAACCAGCCCGUAGCCCGUAAUCAUCAACUCUCUAUAAGGUAUAUUUUCAAUAAACAAAUUUUUCAUAUUCAAAUAUUUGUGUUAUUGUGUUUAAAUUUUUGCAAUAAAUUAUACAGUAUUAUAAAUUAAAUAUUUCUGUUGUUUUUAUAGUUGAAGAUUAUUAGACAGAAUUAAUUAUUACGUGCAUGAAUUAAUUAUUGUUUACAUGAAUUAAUUUAAAUAAAUUUAGUAAUGGUGGUUAGUGUGAAAUUAUUAAAAAAUUAAUAUUAUUUUUAAAUUAUUGAAAUAAUUCUUGUAAGAUAUUGAUAGCUAAAAAUUAAAAAUAAAUAAAAGUAGAAAUAAAACUAAAUUAUUAUUUGAUUUAUUUAAAUGGAUAUUUUAAUGUAUAAUAUAUAUAUAUAUAUAUAUAUAUAUAUAUAUAUAUCAAAGAAAUUUUCUAUAAUAUAACAUAGUAACAGUGAGUAUUAAAUGUAUAUAUAAUAUAUAUAUUUAAAUAUUUAAAUAUUACAUAAAUUUAAAUAUCUAUUUUAACAAAGAAAAGAAAUAUAUAAUUGUAAAAUAUUAGAAUAUAUAAUAAAAUAAAAUAAAUAAAUUUAUUAAUGGUUAUUAGUGUUAAAUUAUUUUUUUUCAUAUAAUAUUAUUUAAAAAAUAUUAAAUUAAAAGAAAUUUAAGUAGAACAUUAUCGAAAUUAUGAAUUUAUCUUCUAUAUUUUAUGAAAAAUAAUAUUAGUGUUAAAUUAUUGAAAUAAUUCUUCUCAGAUAUUGAGACCAAAAUAUAAAAAAUAAAUAAAACUAAAAUAUUAUUUGAUUUAUUUAAAUGGAUAUUUUAAUGUAUAAUAUAUAUAUAUAUAUAUAUAUAUAUAUAUAUAAGUAAUUUUUUAUAAUAUAAAAUAGUAACAGUGAGUAUGAAAGGUAUAUAAUAUAUAUUUAAAUGUUAAAAUAUUAUAUACGUUUAAAUAUCCAUUUUUAAAAGAGAAAAGAAAUAUAUAAUUGUAAAAUGUUAGAAUAUUAAAAUAUUAAAAAAUAUUUGAAUGAUGCAGGAAAUACAUUUUCAUGGAUCCUGGACCAGUAGAUAGUUCAGUUCUAUAUAACCAGGAAAUACACCGAUCUUCACUUAUAUGGGAAGGAAAUGAUCCCGGAGAACUCCAUUGUCGACGUCGUGAAGCCAGUUUUUUUCGUAAUAGUGUUUUGGAUGCACGUAUCAUUCCAUAUUUGCAACAAUCUGGAUUCUACGGUGUUGCUCGAUUAGGUUUUAUUUCAUUGGAUUGGCAUCUUAUUAUAGCAUUCAUAGAGAGAUGGCGUCCUGAGACCCACACUUUCCAUGUACCUUAGGGAGAGUGUACCAUCACACUUCAAGAUGUUAGCAUUAUUUUAGGCUUACCGAUUGAUGGUGUUGCAGUUACCGGUACCACGUGCUUAGAUUGGAGAGAGGUGUGUGCCACACUAUUAGGAGUGGUGCCUGGAGAUAGAGAUAUAUCUGGACAAAGACUUCGUUUGAUGUGGUUGACAGAACAUUUUCCUUCAUUGCCACCUGAUGCUGAUGUGGAGUCCGUGAGAUGCUAUGCUAGGGCAUUCAUCUUACAGUUGAUUGGAGGUUUUCUUUUUGCGGAUAAAUCAAACAAUAGAGUACACUUAAUGUUUUUACCACUACUUCAGGAUUUUGGAGUUAUUGGUACUUACAGUUGGGGUAGUGCUUGCCUAGCUUGGCUAUAUUGAGAGAUGUGUCGAGCAUCCCGUAUUGAUGUACAUGAUGUAUCAGGUCCUCUGAUUUUGUUGCAGUUAUGGAUAUGGGAUAGAUUUCCUUUUAUGUCACCUAUGCGCUUACAUCCGACACCACAUGAUGAAGUACAACCACAACCACCCUUAGGCAUGCGGUAUGUAUUCAACCAUAGUUAUAGCAUAUGUAAACACAUAUAUGCAUAAAUAAACAAUUACUAAAACCUUUAAUAUAUAUUCUUUUUGUAGUUGGAGAGAUGAAUUCCGUACUACUUCGACGCCUAUGCAUGUGCUAUCCCAGUAUAGAUAUCUACUUGAUCGACUUAUGCCAGAGCAGGUGAUAAAUUCAUUAUUUUGAAUAAAUUUUUUUAAAUGAUUUAUAAUGAAAUUAUUAUUAAAUAAUGUGAGUUAUAUUUCAAAUUUAAUUGCAGAUUAUAUGGGAGCCAUAUACUGAUGAUGUCAUCUCUGCACUCCCAGAUUACUGUACUAUUGCCUCUGACUUGUGGUUGACUAUUUCACCCCUUAUCUGUUUCCACAUAGUGGAGUGGCAUAGACCUGAUCGUGUUUUGCGGCAAUUUGGGCUAGUACAACAUAUUCCCGAGCAAUGCGAUACAGAAUUGGGCUUACAUAGAUAUGAUUUGAGGGGUCGACAUGAUUUUGAUUGGAUGAGUAUUCAUCACCACUAUAUUCAAAGGUGGGAGGCUAGGUACGAUCAUCUUGCUAGAGCUGAGGCAGCAUAUACUUCGUACGGGUAUAACCACCCAUAUAUGGUGUGGUAUCGUUCGAUCACUCGCCUUUUUUUUACUCCACAUGGAUCUUCGUGGGAGAUAGUGGUAAUUACAAUGUCUUUUUAUUUAUUACUAUAUUUUCUUCUUAUUACAAAAACAUCUAACUUUUUAUUCUUAAUUCUUACAGAACCGCAGUUUGCAACAAAUACAUUUAUGGACUUCUCCAGCUACACCGAAUAUCGGUCAUCGUGAUGCAAUUCAUCAAUUAUGUGCAACCACUUUAGAGGCUAUACACGAGGCUGAUCGGUUAGUUAUUCCCCCUAAUGUUGUUGAUACGGAGAGACAAUCAUCGGAUGAGGAGGUUAGGAUAAGAGAUGGUGGGAUGCGGACUAGGGGUGGUAGGGUGCGGACUAGAGGUGGUGGAGUACAUCCUACAGGUGGAGGUGUUUGCACUAGAGGCGGAGGUGUACGAACACGUGGAGGCCAUAUUUCUGAUGAUCCACACUUCCAUAGCGAUGAUGUAGCUAUACAUUUUCCACCAUCAGCUCUACAACAUUCUUCCUUCAAUUUUUCUACACCACUUGACCAGUCACUGCCUUAUUCAUCAGUUCCAUUCAUUGCUGAGGGGGUGAUACAGGAAGAUGUUGGGACAUCAUUCAUGCAGGAGAUAUUGCAUUCUUAUAUUGAUGGGUCUUCUUUUCAUAUACCUAUGUCGUCUAGUAUCGAUGUAUCAUUUACUCCACCUACAGCACCACUCAUUGCUUUGUCACCACAGUCAUUAGGACAUCCAUUUAGAGAUGAUGUGGCGACACAAAUGCAAUACUUUUCAUCACCACUUGUUGAACAACAGCUAGAGGCACAAGUGCAAGAUGAAGGACGUGGACGAGGAAGAGGUCGAGGACGAGGACGGGGACGAAGACGAGGAAAUGAAGCAACAUUAGAUGUUCCCUCAGAUCAAUCCAAGUUGGAAAGAUGUCACCAACGGCCACAACGAAGAAGGAAACCUCCUUCAUGUGGCACACAUUGAUGACUUUUAUAUCUUGUAUGGUACAUUUUUUUUUUAUUCUUCGUUUAUUUGUAUUAAUGAUGAAUACUAACUUUUAUUGGUUCCUAGUUCAUUCUUCGUUUUUUUUUUUUUUUAAUUUGGGACUUUUUAAAAAAAAUUAUUUUUUUUUAAUGGGAAAUCGUCUCUUUUGGAAAUUUUUUUUUUAAUAAUUUCGGAUUUUUUUUUUAAAUAUAUUAAUUUUUUUUAAUGGGAACUCGUCUCUUGAAGAGACGAGUUACUUGAGGAUUUUUUUUUUUUUGGAUUUUUUUUAAAAAAAAUUUAAUUUUUUUUUUAUUUUUCAUGGGAACUCGUCUCUUGAAGGAAAUUUUUUUUUUUUAAUUUGAGAUUUUUUAAUUUAAGGAUUUUAAAAAAUAUAUUUUUUUUCCUAAAGGGAACUUGUCUCUUGAAGAGACGAGUUCCCUUUAGGAAUUUUUUUUUUAAAAUAUAUAUAUUUUUAAAAAAAAAAUAUUUUUUUUUACAUGGGAACUCGUCUCUUCAAGAGACGAGUUCCCUUUAGGAAUUUUGAGGAAUUGGUUUUUUUUAUUUUUUUUAAAUAUAUAUUUUUUUACAUGGGAACUCGUCUCUUCAAGAGACGAGUUCCCUUUGGAAUUGUUUUUUUUUUUUUUUUUAAAUUUGGGAUUUUUUUUAAAAAAUAUUUUUUUUCCUGAAGGGAACUCGUCUCUUGAAUUUUUUUUUUUAUAUAUAUAUAUAUUUUUUUUAAAAAAAUAUUUUUUUUACAUGGGAACUCGUCUCUUGAAGAGACGAGUUCCCUUUAGGAAUUUUGAGGAAUUGUUUUUUUUUUUUUUUAAUAUAUAUUUAAAAAAAUAUUUUUUUUUUACAUGGGAACUCGUCUCUUCAAGAAGAGACGAGUUCCCUUUGGAAUUGUGUUUUUUUUUUAUUUUUAAUUUGGGAUUUUUUAAAAUAAAAAAUAUAUUUUUUGAACUUGUCUCUUGAAUUUUUUAAAAAAAAAUAAAUAUUUUAAAAAAAAAUAUUUUUUUUACAGGGGAACCCCUCCCUGGGAGAGACAAUUUCCCCUUAAAAAUUUUGAGGAAGGGUUUUUUUUUUUUUUUUUCCCUCAAAAAAAGUUAAAAAAUAAAUAUAUUUUUUUUACCGGGGAACUGGCCUCUCCAAAAAAGAAGUCCCCCCUUGAAAUGGAGUUUUUUUUUUUUUUAAAUUCGGGAUUUUUCUAAAAAAAAAAAUAUUUUUUUUCAAAAANNNNNNNNNNNNNNNNNNNNNNNNNNNNNNNNNNNNNNNNNNNNNNNNNNNNNNNNNNNNNNNNNNNNNNNNNNNNNNNNNNNNNNNNNNNNNNNNNNNNUUUUUUUUUUUUUUUUAAAAUUGGGAAUUUUUUUUAAAAAAAAUUUUUUUCCAAAAGGGGAAACAUUUUUUGAAAUUUUUUUUUUUAAAAAAAAAUAAAUUUUUUUAAAAAAAAUUUUUUUUUUCAAGGGGAAUUGUUUUUUGAAAAGGAGGGGUUCCCUUUGGGAUUUUGGGGGAAUGGUUUUUUUUUUUUUUUAAAUAUUUUUAAAAAAAAUUUUUUUUUUUACAAGGGGAAUUGUUUUUUUAAGAAGGGACGGGUUUCCUUUGGAAAUGUGUUUUUUUUUUUUUUUUAAUUUGGGAUUUUUUUAAAUAAAAAAUAUAUUUUUUGAACUUGUUUUAUGAAUUUUUUAUAUAUAUAUAUAUAUUUUAAAAAAAAAUAUUUUUUUUACCUGGGAACUUGUUUUUUGAAGAGACGAGUUCCCCUUUGGAAUUUUGGGGAAAUGUUUUUUUUUUUUUUUUUUCUUUAAUAUAUAUUUAAAAAUAUAUAUAUUUUUUUUACAUGGGAACUUGUCUCUUCAAGAGACGAGUUCCCUUUGGAAUUGUGUUUUUUUUUUUUUUUAAUUUGGGAUUUUUUAAAAUAAAAAAUAUAUUUUUUUAAAAAAAUAUUUUUUUUGAACUCGUCUCUUGAAAUUUUUUUUUAUAUAUAUAUAUUUUUUAAAAAAAAAUAUUUUUUUUUACAUGGGAACUCGUCUCUUGAAGAGACGAGUUCCCUUUAGGAAUUUUGAGGAAUUGUUUUUUUUUUUUUUUUUUUUUAAUAUAUAUUUAAAAAAAUAUUUUUUUUUUACAUGGGAACUCGUCUCUUCAAGAGACGAGUUCCCUUUGGAAUUGUUUUUUUUUUUUUUUUUUUUUAAUUCGGGAUUUUUUAAAAAAAAAAAUAUAUAUUUUAAAAAAAAUAUUUUUUUUCCUAAAGGGAACCCGUCUUUUGAAAUUUUAAAAAUAAAAAAAUUUUUUUUUUUUUAAAUUUUUUUUUUUUUAACAGGGGAACCCUCCCCUUCAAAAAACGAGUUCCUUUAGGAAUUUUGAGGAAUUGUUUUUUUUUUNNNNNNNNNNNNNNNNNNNNNNNNNNNNNNNNNNNNNNNNNNNNNNNNNNNNNNNNNNNNNNNNNNNNNNNNNNNNNNNNNNNNNNNNNNNNNNNNNNNNACGGGUUCCCCUUAGCAAUGUUUUUUUUUUUUUUUUAAUUUGGGCUCCCUCAAAAUAAAAAAUAUAUUUUUUUUAAAAAAUAUUUUUUUUCCUAAAGGGAACUUGUCUCUUGAAAUUUUUUUUUUAUAUAUAUAUAUUUUUAAAAAAAAUAUAUAUUUUUUUACAUGGGAACUCGUCUCUUGAAGAGACGAGUUCCCUUUAGGAAUUUUGAGGAAUUGUGUUUUUUUUUUUUAAUAUAUAUUUAAAAUUUUUUUUUUUUUUUUACAUGGGAACUCGUCUCUUCAAGAGACGAGUUCCCUUUGGAAUUGUUUUUUUUUUUUUUUAUUAUUUAAUUUGGGAUUUUUUAAAAUAAAAAAUAUAUUUUUAAAAAAAAAUAUUUUUUUUCCUAAAGGGAACUCGUCUCUUCAAGAGACGAGUUCUUUCCAGAGACAUCUUAAAAAAAACUUUAAUUUAAAUAAUUGAAUUUUCAACUAGAACUUACAAUAUCUUAAAAAAAAACUUUAAUUUAAAUAAUUAAAUUUUCAACUAGAACUUACAAUAUCAUUGAGCGGUUGUGUUAGAAGACUCCCCUCUGUUAGGACAUUUUCGCCGAUUGUGACCCUCUUGUUUACAAAGCCCACAUCGCAAUUUAACACUUGGUUCUCUCCAAUCCAUUUCAUUCCUAAACCUUGAAGAUCUUGGUCUUCCUUUAUCACGUACUAGAGUUGGAUUAGGAUGAACAAUUGGAAAAUUAGGCUCUGGCCAAUAUGCUUGAUGUGGAAUUGGAUUGAAUUGAGGUGUAUAGCAACAAGCAUAUACAUCCAUCCUAUAAUGUUUGUCAACAAAUUGCCAACUAUCAAUCCUUGCACGUGCACAUACAGCCAACACAUGUGAACAUGGUAUACCAAAUGAUUGCCAUUUAUUACAAGUACAUGUUCUUUCUUUCAACUUCACAAUUUGUAUAUUGUUUCCUUUAUCCAUAUGAAACCCAUGGGGAGCAGUUGUAACUUCAAAUAUCUCAUUUGAACGGUGAAAAAUAUUGGCAGUGUGUCCACUAGCCCUUGAUUGAUAUUUUGUUAUUUUGUUAAUGACAUAGGAAGUAUACAAAUCUCCAUUUGCCAUUUGAGUUUGUAUCUCUGUUCGACGAGUCUCGAAAUAUGAAACACAACGAUAGAAAGUUAAUCGAACAAGAGCAGUGAUAGGCAACAUUCUAGCCCCUUUGAGCACUCCAUUUAUGCAUUCAGCAAUAUUUGUAGUCAUCCACCCAUACCGAUGUCCUCCAUCAUGUGCCAAAGUCCAUUUCUUUGUGUCCAACCUGUUAAACCAUUCUAAGCAUUUCUCAUCUAAUUGUUUUAACUCAGUCAUACAUGCCUCAUACUUUCGUGGUUGAUGUUGAGACCCUGCUCUAUACACUAAGUCUUUUAACAUCUUAUUUCUAUAUUUAUCAUUGAAAUUGCUUGCCACAUGCCUAAGACAAUAUCGAUGGUGUGCAUAAGGCGGGCUCCAACCAACACUAGGAUCCCUAAUGGCGGCUUGUAUUCCUGCAUGACGAUCUGAAAUAAGACAUAUGCCUUCUCUUUGUGUGACUUGAGUCCUUAAUAUAUAAAGAAACCAAGACCAACUAUCUGAUGAUUCCUCUUCAACUAUUGCAAAUGCUAGAGGGAAGAUAUGACCAUUAGCAUCGAUUGAUGUUGCAAUCAAAAGUUUCCCUAUGUAUUUUCCAUAUAAAAAAGUACCAUCUAUUUGUAUUAUUGGUCUACAAUGCUUAAAUCCUUCAACACAUGCCCCAAAAGCCCAGAACACACGCAUAAAACGUACAUUUCCAUUGCAACCUGCUAGUAAUGAUGUCUUCCAAACAACCUUAGUCCCAGGGUUAGUAAGUUUAAUAAUAUUCAUCCACCUAGGUAAAGUUUGGUAAGAUUCAUCCCAAUCACCAAAUAUCCUUAUCAUUGCUUUCCUCUUUGCUUCCCAAAUCCUCUUGUAAUGAACAUUAUAACCAAAUUUAUCUUUCACUAUUUGAUGUAACGCAGCAAUUGAAAUUGUGUGAUCACUUUGGACUACAUUUUGAACUUCUCGUGCAAUGAAGGUUGAGUCUAAUUGUGAGUGGUCUUGUGAUAGUUUAGGGUAAACACAAGUGUGAGGACCUAUGUACUUUGUUAUCUCAAACAAACCAUGACAUUUACGACGACAUGCACGAAACCUCCAAUUACAACCCUCAGACCAUUUUUUACACUUUACAACCCAAAAAUCUGGCUCAGAUUCAAUAACAAUCAAAUGUUGAUUCCUACAUAUAGAAUAACGUUUAACAGCAUAUUGUAAGUCUACCUUACUUUCAAACCGCAAACCCUUAAACAAUUCAUCUGAUUCAUUCCAUAAGCCAGUGCGUGCUAUUAAAUCCUUGUCAGUGAUGGAGUUAAUUACAUCCCAAUUCAAUUCUCUAAAUAUUGGGGAAGGGACAUCAUGUUCACCACCACCUAGCAAUGAUGCAUCAUUUUCUGUAUUUUCAUUAUCCUCCAUGUCCAUAAUAUCCUCAUUACCAUCAUCUUCAUCAAAUAACUCUACAUUGUCAUCAUCAAUUCCAGGUAAAAUAUCAACAUAAUUUCCAACUGUCAUUACAAUUGACUCAGUAACCCCUGCCAUAUCUACCCUAACUGUAGGUUCCAUAUCAUUAUCAUAACUUUGCAUAUACUUAGGGGAAGAUGUGUUAUUUUCUACCAUAUGUUGACUUGGACCUAGGCUUUCAAUAUGCAAUGGGGUAGUAAAGCUACUAGGCACAGGGUGAUAAUCAAUGGAAGAAGUUUGACAAUACAUUUCAAUAGUAUUUGGAGGAGGAGAUUGUGCGACAACGGUGAACAUUAUCCUUACAUCACCAUCAUCUCGAAUAGGCAAAGGGACAUAAUUAACAGUACCAUUUCCAUUUGGAAAGGGAACUGGAUAUCAAAACACCAUAUUUAACUUGGUAUAAGUACGAUUAAUAUUCAGAGCAUGACACAAUUUUGUUUCUAACUCAUCAAAUGUUAUCAUACUAUUGAUUAAAACACCUUUAUCAGGAGGACGAUUAUAACUUACCCCAAAUUCACAAUCAAUAAUUUCACUCCUGGUAUAGCACAACACCGUGGUGUAACCGUCCAUUAUAAAACCUAUUCAAAAGAUCAACAAAAAAUAUCAUCAUCAAUAAACUUUAUGAUAAUAACAAUAUAUAUUUUGCAAAUCUAUUUUACUAAUAUUACGUCCAUUACAAUAUAUUUCUUUUCUUUUUAAAAAGGGAUAUUUAAAUGUAUAUAAUAUAACAUUUUAAAUGUCCAUUUACAUAUUUAAGAUAAGAUCAACUCUCGGAUAAUGUUCUACUUAUAUUUCUUAUAUUUUUAUAUUUUUUUAAUUAAUAUUAUAUGCAAAAAAAUAAUUUAAUACUAACAACCAUUACUAAAUUUAUUUAUUUUCUUUUAUUAUAUAUUCUAACAUUUUACAAUUAUCUAUUUCUUUUCUUUUUUAAAAUAGAUAUGAAAUGUAUAUAAUAUUUGAAUAUUUAAAUAUAUAUAAUUGACUAUUUUAUAUUAUACACAAUUAUUUUAUACAUAUAUAUUAUAUUAAAAUAUCCAAUUAAAUAAAUCAAAUAAUAUUUUAAAUUUAAAUAUACUUUAAUUUAUUUUUAAUUUUUAGCUCUCAAUUUCUUACAAGAAUUUUUUCAAUAAUUUAAAACUAAUGUUAAUUUUUAUAAACUAUAGAAUACAAACUCAAAAUUUCGAAUAAUGUUAUACUUAUAUUUCUUAUAUUUUAAUAUAUAUACAUAUAUAUAAUGUAUGCAAAAAAAUAAUUUCAAAAUAAUUUCACACUAAUAAUAUUAUAUAUUAUAACAUUUUACAAUUAUAUAUUUCUUUUCUUUGUUAAAAUGGACAUUUAAAUGUAUAUAAUAUUUUAAUAUUUAAAUAUAUAUUAUAUACCUUUAAUACUCACUGUUACUAUGUUAUAUUAUAGAAAAUUACUCCUAUAUAUAUUAUACAUUAAAUAGCCAUUUAAAUAAAUCAAAUAAUAUUUUAGUUUUAUUUCUACUUUUAUUUAUUUUUAUUUUUUAGCUCUCAAUAUCUUACAAGAAUUAUUUCAAUAAUUUAAGACUAAUAUUAAUUUUUUUAUAAUAUAGAAGAUAAAUUCAUAAUUUCAGAUAAUGUUAUACUUAAAUUUCUUAUAUUUUAAUAUUUUUUAAAUAAUAUUAAAUGCAAAAAAAUAAUUUAACACUAACCACCAUUACUAAAUUUAUUUAUUUAUUUUAUUUUAUUAUAUAUUCUAACAUUGUACAAUUAUUAUAUGUUUCUUAUCUUUUCUUUUUUAAAAUGGAUAUUUAAAUGUAUUACACAAUAAAUAUGAAAUAAAGGAAAAAAUAUUACCUAUCAAUAAAAACAAACUGAUAUAAUAAUAAAAAGGCAAAAAUAUUACCUACCAAUAAAAACUGAUAUAAUAAUAAAAACUAUAUAUCAUAAAAUAAAAUAAAGCAAAAAUAUUACCUUAGAAGAUAUGCUCAAAUUCUACCAAAGGUGAAAAACUGAGAAGUGAAAAUUUCAGUUUGAAGUGGGAAGAGUGGGAAAAUGUAAGUGAAGAAGUUUAAAGUGGGAAGAAUGGGAAAAUGUAAGUGAAGACGUUUGAAGGUGAAAAUGAGAAUGAAGAAGGUAAUUUAUAGUGUUUGAGAAGUUGUAAAAAGGUACCAUGAGUGGUUAAAAUUUGAGUUUAAAAUGGAAUUGGUAGAGUGUAACGGUAUGAUACCAACGUUCUUCUUCGAAAUAGCUAGCCCGAAAUAGCAAACGGGCUAGCUAUGAUAGCAAACGGGCUAGCUAUGAUAGCAAACGGGUUAGCUAUGAUAGCAAAUGGCUUACCUAUUAUAGCAAACAGUGUUGUUCAAAAUAGCAAACGGUAUUGUUCAUAGCAAACGACUUAGCUAUGAAGAGACGAUUUCCUUUUUGGAUUUUUUUUUUUAUAAUUUGGGAUUUUUUUUAAUGAAGAGACGAUUUCCAUUUUGAAAUAUUUUUUUUUUUAUAAUUUGGGAUUUUAAAAAACAAAUUUAAAAAUAUUAAUUUUUUUUUAAAGAGACUAUUUUCCCUUUGAAUUUUUUUUUUUUAAUAUUUGGGAUUUUUUAAUCUUGAAGAGACGAGUUCCUUUUUAGGAAUUUUGAGGAAUUGUUUUUUUUUUUUUUUUAAUAUAUAUAUUUUAAAAAAUAUAUAUAUUUUUUUACAUGGGAACUCGUCUCUUGAAGAGACGAGUUCCCUUUGGAAUUGUGUUUUUUUUUUUUUUUUAAUUUGGGAUUUUUUAAAAUAAAAAAUAUAUUUUUUAAAAUAAAAAAUAUAUUUUUUAAAAAAUAUUUUUUUUUCCUAAAGGGAACUCGUCUCUUGAAAUUUUUUUUUUAAAUAUAUAUAUAUUUUUUUUAACAUGGUAACUCGUCUCUUAGGAAUUUUGAGGAAUUGUUUUUUUUUUUAUUUUUUAUAAUAUAUAUAUUUUAAAAAAAAUAUUUUUUUUUUACAUGGGAACUCGUCUCUUGAAGAGACGAGUUCCCUUUGGAAUUGUGUGUUUUGUUUUUUUUUUUUUUUUUUUUUUUUUUUUUUUUUUAAAAUUUGGGAUUUUUUAAAAAAAAAAAUAUUUUUUUAAAAAAAAAUUUUUUUUUCCCAAGGAACUCGUCUUUUGAAAAAACGAGUUCCUUUAGGAUUUUUUUUUUUUGGGAUUUUUUUUAAAAAAAAAAAAUUUUUUUAAAAAAAAAAUAUUUUUUUUUUCCCAUGGGAACCCCUUUUUUCAAAAAAGUUCCCUUUUUUUCCAAAUUUUUUUUUUUUUUUUUAAUUUGGGAAUUUUUUAAAAAAAUAUUUAUUUUUUUUAAUUGGGAACCCCUUCUUUCAAAAAAAGAGUUCCUUUUUUUAAAAAAUUUUACCGUUUAACCCUUUUUCCUUUNNNNNNNNNNNNNNNNNNNNNNNNNNNNNNNNNNNNNNNNNNNNNNNNNNNNNNNNNNNNNNNNNNNNNNNNNNNNNNNNNNNNNNNNNNNNNNNNNNNNUUAAAUUACUGUAGUGGAAGAAGUUAUUCCAAAUAUAGAGUAGUUUUUGCCACAUAGGAGAGAGGAGAGAGGGUGAAGGAAUAAAUUUUUUUUAAAAAGCCAACUCGUCUCUUCAAGGAAACUCGUCUCUUCAAGUGUGAAUUUUUUAAAAAUAUAUAUAUAUUUUUUAAUUGGGAACUCGUCUCUUCAAGAGACGAGUUCGCUUUUUUAAAAAAUUUUACCCGUUCACCCUCUCUCCUCUCUCCUCUCUCUCACCCUCUCUCCCACCCUCUCUCCUCUCUCCUCUCUCCUCUCUCCUCUCUCCUAUGUGGCAAAAACUACCCUAUAUUUGUAAUAACUUCUUCCACUACAGUAAUUUAAGAAUAACUUUUUUAAAUUACUGCACUAUUGAGAAAAGUCCAAGGUUUCCUUCUCUAUGUCUUUGUUCUUCAAGUAGAAAAACUUGAAUCAGGGAAGGGACCCCUAUCACAAGCACCAUUAUCAGUUAGAUAUUUGAGGCGUCAAGUUUAUGACUUCAGCUUUCUUGAAUGCAGAAAUGAAGAAUUCACUGCGGAUGUCUUCUCCAAAGCUGUCGUGUGAGUGUUUUUAUUUUUUUAUUUUUUUUCAACCAGUUGAAAUCAAUUCACUGAACACUAACACUAAGCUGCCAUGAACAGUUGUACUAAAACUAAGUAUCUCUUGUAGCUAAACUGCUACCAUUUUUCAUUUAUGUUUCUUUAAAUUCAUUUAACUUAUUUUGUUACUUUAUAUAAAGAUUAAAAGUGCAUUUAACAGUGGUUAUGAAAAGUGUUUAGCAUUUUUAAUACUUAAAAAAUAAAAAAUUUUAAGUAUUAAAAAUGUUAAAAACACUUUUUAGAAUCACGGUCAAAUACACUCUAAAUUUAAUUACACUUUAUUUUCUUUCAUAUAUAUUUAUAAUGAAACAAAUAUGAGAAAAAAAAAACAUUUUUCUUGACAGUUUUUUUCUUUCUUUGGUAUUUUUCCCAAAUCAAACAUAAGAAUAUAUUUUUUUAUAACUUUUAUUCGGUUGGUUUAUGAAAUAUUUUACCUGAAUGAUUGAAUCUGAAAUAUUCUACAGGCCAGAGUAGAUUUUGGAAGGCUAAUGGAGUAACCCUUUAGAUUUGGCUGGGUUGAUCUGCUGCAAAUGCAUUUUGAAAAUCCAAGGCAAUAACCUUCACUAAAUGGUUGCAAAAGGAGGAAAAAACUUAGGGCAAAAGUAGAGCUACUCAAUUGAGAUUAUGAGAUAUGGCUGUCAAUUUGCUUUACAGAAAAAUAAAAGAAAUUUACAUUGUUUUCACUACAAAAGAAAACACGCUUCUCAUAAUCCAAAAUUGCUGGUAUUGGUUUUUUUUGGUCAAUGGUGUUAGAGAUUUGGUAUAUCCUUGAGGCUGGUACUGUUGAGAUUUUCCUUCUUCCUCAUGAGCAACUCAAGCUACGAGUUAGAUUGAUGAAGGCUUCUUCUCUGCAUGGUACCUUGCAUUGUUAUAUAACUAUGGUCGAGCAUGUAGCAUUUUUAGUCUCUCAAAAACAAUUCAUUAGUUGAAAUAAACAAGAAAGACAGGGUCAUGUAACUUCUUUCAUUUUCUCAUGAAGUGUAACCAAGGAUUCAAUUUUUUUUUAUAAAAUAUCGUCGAUAUAUCAAAUAUUGGUGGUGUCGUGAGAAUUUUGGCCAAAAUAUCUUAAAACAUCUUGGAGGUGGAGCGAUGCAUCGGCCAUUUUUUGAGAAAAAUAGGGAAUAUUUCGAGAAAAAUGGGAGAUUUUGUUGAAAGUUUUUUUAAAAAAAUAUUUAAGUUUUUUUUAAUUAUUCAUUUUUAAUUUAUUUAUUUUUAUCUUAAAUCUAUAUUAUCAUUUUAUUUUUUAUAUUUAUCUCAUUAAUGUUAUUUUUAAAAAUUACUAUCACUUCAUUAUUAAUUUUUUAUCCGUUUAAUUUUAUUUAAUUUUAAAAUAUUAAAAAGAUCAUUUCACUCAAAAAUUGCUAUAAUAUAAAAAAAAUAAUGGAGUCCUAAUAUUUAUAAAUUAAAAUUGAUUUGAUAAGACAAAUUAUUAAUAAUUUUAAUUAUUUAAAUAAAUUAAUGUUAAUAGAAAAAUUAUCACCAUAUAUUUGUAAUAAAUUUUUAGAAAUUAAAUCGUAAAUAAAAUAUUUUAUGUAAAUCAAUUUAAUUUUAUUUCAAAUGUAAUAAAACAUGUUUUAAUAAAAGUAUUUUUAAAAUUUUAAAGUAAAUGAAUAUAAAUAUAUUAAAGGAAUUUAAGCUAAUUUUUUUAUAAAAUUUUAUCUUUAAUUGUAUUUAUAUCAAUUAUACUUAUAAAAUAACUUUAAUAUAUAUAUAUAUAUAUAUAUAUAUAUAUAUAUAUUCUUAUUUUAUCAUUUUUUUUAGAGUUUUUUCAAGCAUUCUCAUCAAUUUUGAAUCAUUUUCCUCAUCAAUAUUUUUGUCAAAAUAUCCAUUAAUAUUUCUCCAAUAUUUAUGAUAUAUCCAAUAAAAUCCAAGUAUUGGAUUCCUUCUUUAUAAAUGAAAAAAUAUGCCUUAAUCCAUGUAUGCAUUCUUACAACAAAAAAGAUAUAUGUACCUUUUAACCUAGUCUUCUUUUUCCCUUAUUUUUUCCCUUUUUGUGUAGCUAAUCGAAUUCUUUGUUUUUCUUGGAUUGAAAAAGCUCUCAAGUCUCAACCUCGGUGACGGAUGCUUACAAUCCCUUUAUAAAGGGCAAAACUUUAAGUGGGAAGUUGCUUACUCAGCAAAACAAUUAAUCUUGGUUUUACAACAGAAAAUUGUUUUAAUAAUUUUUUUUUAUACUAAGCCUGUGCCUGGCCCUAGCCUAAACUUAAUCCAAAGCUUUAAAUUUCAUAUUUCUUUUUUCCUAAACAUUCUAAUCUUUCUAAGAAAUCUUUCUAUGAGUAGUUGUUGAUUAAAGGCAUAUUCGUGGUACUCCAUCUAUACGCAUUGUACCUCAUUUACCCUUCCAAAAUGCUUUACGGUUUGACUUAUCAUUGUUACAACACACCUACAAUCAUUUUAUAGAGGAGUUACAAUAUGCGCCAUAUCCGUAAGCUUUCUUCCAUAGUUGCCUACGGAAGUCUUCACAACUAUAGAAAAACUUUUGUAUAUGAGUCAUCAUAAACAACAUUUCCACUUUUUCUCAUCGAGUUCCCUCACUUGGAUUAUAUAGGGGAGUAGGAAGCUUUUGGAAACUCUUGGAAUCAUCUAUACUAGUAAGAGACUUAGAGAUGUCCACACAUGUUACCUACUGUUCUCUUAACUUCUAAGUUGUGUGUCUAACUAAAUCUAACUAACAAAAUGCAAGGGGAAGGCUAACUUAGCAACAUCAAACAUGUUUAUCUGUAAGUGUCACAUGUGAGCUUAAGAAAAACUUAAGUUCGUGACACAUGGCUCAUGCACCAAGCCUCAUGCCUAAUAAGCAUCUACUUUUAGAUGAAUGGAAGAGGCUUAUAAAACUCUUAACAUCUCCUUUCAUUUUUUAUGUAGGAUCAAUAUAGUGUGUGAUUUAAAGAAAAUAUCGGCUUUAAAGUUGCAAGAGGAGGAAAGUUCAUAGUAAAAUAGUUGCACUACUCUAUUACUCCUUUGUUUGUAUUAAAAGUUAAUUAGGAUGUGUAUGUUAAUUAGGAUCAACAUUUGUCUUCUUAAUUUAUUGUAAUCUUCAUCAAGUUUUUGAUACAGAAUAAAUUGAGUUUUGUCUCAUAAUCAGCAAAUUGAAUCUGUGCAUGUCUUCUACUAAACAAUCAUUUUUUAUCUCAUUUCCACCACUCACUGAAUCUGCAUCAGAAUCAUAUUCUCCAUCAUCUACCACACAUACAUUUUCUCUCUCAUAUUCUACACAUAUUGAAUCUGUGUCAUCAUCAUGUCCAAAAUCUUAUUCUGUCUCAAUUUCGCAUCAUAUCAUAUUCUGAAGUAGUGUCAUUUCCACCAACUGAUAUUAACCAAUACCAUAAAAUGAAUAUUUAUGAUUAAUACGGUAGAAAACCCUAGUUAAUUUCUUGCCCGGUAUAUUUCUGUGGAUCCCUUUUUUGGUUCUCUUUCUCUCCGGCUUUUACAUGGUUCUCGGUAAGAUUGAGAACCAAAUAUUCAUAAGUAACCUAGUCAUUUUUAGUUAGUAAGCAAUCUUGAUGUAAAUGAGUUUUCAUUUCCAUCCUCUUUAUUAGGGUUCCAAACAUUAUCCCAAAAAAAAAAAAAAUAUCUUAAAUCAUUUUCCUUAUUCUCCUUAUUGCACAUUUUGUCUUAUAAUACUUGACUGUCUAGUUUUAAAGGGCUUGGAAGAUGAUUAGUUUCCAAAUGCUUGCAGAUUCCAGGAACUUAAAGUUACAAUUAAGUGAAACAAGCACUUGAAAGAGGAGAAUGCCUUUCAGAUUCAGAGAACAUAAGCGGGCAUGCAGAAGAAGUGGAAGGGAAGAUGCAGACCAAUAGAGGAAAGAAGGAAAAACAAGCUAAAUAUUCCUGCAGUUGAGCUGCUUAUUGAAACAGAGUAGAACAAAUUAAGGUUGAUAACAUCAUGACUGGGUGCUUGUGGAAUCGUCUUCUGGAUGCCAGAACCUGUUGAAAAACCAUAAGGAAUCAGCUUUCACGGCAUAUCCAUCUUGGUUGCGGUGC
Molecule: long non-coding RNA, 31937 nt
Filed under: Vitis vinifera (wine grape)
Lineage: Eukaryota; Viridiplantae; Streptophyta; Magnoliopsida; Vitales; Vitaceae
Description: long non-coding RNA (VVIN_LNC000591)
Source: RNAcentral